This 424-nucleotide ribosomal RNA is filed under the name Verrucomicrobiota bacterium. Its description in RNAcentral is "Verrucomicrobia bacterium partial 16S ribosomal RNA". It matches the Rfam family "Bacterial small subunit ribosomal RNA", at positions 355 to 776 of the family's 1533-position model. Lineage: Bacteria; Pseudomonadati; Verrucomicrobiota. The record is from RNAcentral.
UGAGGAGUAUUGGUCAAUGGGCGAGAGCCUGAACCAGCCAAGUAGCGUGCAGGAUGACGGCCCUAUGGGUUGUAAACUGCUUUUAUGUGGGGAUAAAGUGCGUGACGUGUCAUGCAUUGCAGGUACCACAUGAAUAAGGACCGGCUAAUUCCGUGCCAGCAGCCGCGGUAAUACGGAAGGUCCGGGCGUUAUCCGGAUUUAUUGGGUUUAAAGGGAGCGUAGGCUGUCUAUUAAGCGUGUUGUGAAAUAUACCGGCUCAACCGGUGGCUUGCAGCGCGAACUGGUCGACUUGAGUAUGCAGGAAGUAGGCGGAAUUCAUGGUGUAGCGGUGAAAUGCUUAGAUAUCAUGACGAACUCCGAUUGCGCAGGCAGCUUACUGUAGCAUAACUGACGCUGAUGCUCGAAAGUGCGGGUAUCAAACAGG